This 500-nucleotide ribosomal RNA is filed under the name uncultured bacterium. Its description in RNAcentral is "partial 16S ribosomal RNA". It matches the Rfam family "Bacterial small subunit ribosomal RNA", at positions 30 to 523 of the family's 1533-position model. The record is from RNAcentral.
AUUGAACGCUGGCGGAAUGCUUUACACAUGCAAGUCGAACGGCAGCACGGACUUCGGUCUGGUGGCGAGUGGCGAACGGGUGAGUAAUGUAUCGGAACGUGCCCAGUCGUGGGGGAUAACGUAGUGAAAAUUACGCUAAUACCGCAUACGAUCUAUGGAUGAAAGCGGGGGAUCGCAAGACCUCGCGCGAUUGGAGCGGCCGAUAUCAGAUUAGGUAGUUGGUGGGGUAAAGGCCCACCAAGCCAACGAUCUGUAGCUGGUCUGAGAGGACGACCAGCCACACUGGAACUGGGACACGGUCCAGAGUCCUACGGGAGGCAGCAGUGGGGAAUUUUGGACAACGGGCGAAAGCCUGAUCCAGCCAUUCCGCGUGCAGGAUGAAGGCCCGCGGGUUGUAAACUGCUUUUGUACAGAACGAAAAGGUUUCUACUAAUACUAGGAGCUCAUGACGGUACUGUAAGAAUAAGCACCGGCUAACUACGUGCCAGCCGCCGCGGUAA